Cercocebus atys (sooty mangabey) is the source of this 3381-nucleotide long non-coding RNA. RefSeq lists it as uncharacterized. The record is from RefSeq and is a predicted model, not a curated record. The transcript is spliced from 8 exons. NCBI's taxonomy places the organism in Eukaryota, Metazoa, Chordata, Mammalia, Primates, Cercopithecidae.
GACCUCCUUGUCAAUGGGAGCGCGGGACCGGGCUGCCGGCACGGCGGUCAGGUGGGCCCCCCAGCUCGCUGCCAGCGCGGCCUCUUUCCCUCUCCGGCCGGCUCUCCAUCUUGUCGCCCGCAGCCCGCCUUGUCAGUGGCUCUGCAGCCGCUGGGGCCGCAGAGCCGAGGCCGGGUUACCUCAGGAAACGCGAUGUGGUAGUGGGUCGGAAUAAACCCUCCCGCCCCAGAAUUCGCCUUGGGGGCAUGAGGACAGAUUCGGCCUUUUCGCUUCCUGUGUCCACAUUUAUUGAGCACUUAGUAUGUGGGAGCCGAGGCUGUAAGGAGAGGAACGGAGCGGGCGGAGAAAAGCCAGGGCCUUUUCUCCGGGAGCCGCUGCCUCCAGGGCCAUCGUCGACCCUGCUCCGAGAUCCCAGUCGCCGGUCUCCGUGCAGGAGGGGUGCCCACCCUUGGGGAGGCCUGGGUGUCCUGAGCGGAGGGACAGGGCUUCAAGCGACUGGGAGUUUCCAGCAAGCCCCUGAUCCCCGAGCAGUUUAUUUUAAAAGCUUUUGCAAAUGUUGGACGGUUUAGCUUGGUGGAGGUCGUCUUUGCACUAAAUUCUCUUGUCCUCCCCCUUCGAAACACACAAAAUGAAUUUUGAAUAGAUUCUUGGAUGAGAGAUUUUCUUCCUUUUUUCAUCUUCUGAAACAUUUUCCCCUCAUUUCUUCUCAAAAACCCAGGAACCCGGGUCAGUUACUCGGUGUACAGCUAGUCAAAUACUGAGAAAACCAGUCGAUAUUUGCCAAAGAUUGGGCAUGUUCUGGGUGGUCUCAGAUUUUGAAGAAACAAAUUUUUUACUGCACAAAAUAGUUUUACAAUCAGUUCCAUCAGACAACCCCAGGGGCUCUCCUAGGGAAAGGGGCCAAUAGGCAAGGUUGCAUGGGGAUAAGAGAGGCAAGCGGCCAGUGGAAAACGUUUUUUUUUUUUUUCCUAACAGUUGGGCAUUUCUGUGGCUCUGAAAGCAAACUUGUUUGUUUCAUUUCAACCAUAGAAAAAAAACACUUCUGUUUUGGAAAUGUAACCCAGCAUAAAAAUACAUUUGCAAUGGGGAAAAAGAAGGCAGUUUAGGGCCACCCAGAAGAAAAUAUUUUUUCCCCUGAUUUUUUUUUUUUUAAUUUGGUAUUUCCCAGUGUGGGUUUGCCUCAUUUUACAAAUAGCUGCCUAUGUCAAGUUGUGGGUAUGUGAUUUAAAUAUUUUAAUUUGAAUCACAUUUUACAUAGUCUAGGAAACUGACAAAGGAAUCCUAUAGAGAAUUGUUUUCUAAAGUGAAUAACUGCUUCUCUACCUACCCGUCCCCCUCAUUCUUCUUUUCUGUGCGUGUUUUUUGGGGAAUGUUAGGGGAUAAAUCUGGUUUGGCUUAACUAAAACGCAGCCUUUCAAAUCCAAAACAGAGAGCUUAGGCACCCAACAUUCUAUAGAAUGUGUUAUUUCCUCAAGAGGUUGCUAGGAACAGUUAUGUAGAUCUACCAGGUGCAGGGAAGCACUCUACAUCCUCACCCAGGUCCUGUAUCCCUGCAAGACUGCAUUGGAAAGACUGAAGAGGAAGCUGAAGAAUGAUAUGCUCCACCACAAUGAGGGACUAAACAACAACAAGGAGGCACGGGAUUCAGGAAGGAAAAAAGCUUUUCCCAUCAUUCCUCUGGAGACAGAAGACUUUGCCAAGUGGUCCAAGCUUUGCUGAAGACCUAAGGACUUUGGGAUUGAUAGAGCUGACAAGCCAUAGCAGGACGGCCAUCCCCUGAGAGAUAGGAGAUGAGGAGAAACAGCCCGACAGGGGCCUGGAGCAGCUGGCUGGCGUCAGUAAUUUCCUGCAGGAGACUCUGCUGGCCGAGCACACGUCACCCUUCUGUUGAUCCUCUGUAUUCUCCCUUGUGCUACUAAAAUACGCUAAUGUAACUCCUGGGCUGUGCUGAGCUAAAUGCAGUUAUUUAACUUCGUCGCUAUGGAACCCAGGUCUAAAGCAGCAACAUCUAUUUGGAACAAGGUGGGGAGGAGGAAAAAUAAUCUUCCCUGGAUCUGAGCAACUGUAUUAAGUUUGUGCUUGUCCAACACCCGCAACACAUGCCCCUACCUGGAGAAGAGAGUCUGGAACAAUUGGUCUCCUAGGAUUCCCUGAAUGUCACAGUUACCUGCAUCAAAGUAUCAAGGAGGCCACUUAAUGACAGAAAUGUUAGGAGUGGGAUGCCUUUUCUUCUGCCCUUGGGCAUCAGAUUCCAGGUUCUUUAGCCUUUGGACUCUGGGACUUGCACCAGUGGCUCCUCUGGGGUUCUCAGACCCAGAGCUUCAGGCUGCAGACUGCACUGUUGGCUUUCCGAAUUUUGAAGCUUUUAGACUUGGACUGAGCCACGCAACUAGGUUUUCUCAUUCUCCAGCCUACAGACAGCAUACCAUGUGACUUUGCCUUUGUAAUCAUAGGAGGAAACUGAGACUUAGCCAGAAAGGCAGCCAAUCAAUGGCAACAUCAAGAUCUGAAAGCUGGAAUUCUGAGAUCAGAGUGCCAGCAUGGUCAGCUUCUGCCGAGGACUGUCUUCAGGGCUGCAGACUGAAGACUUCUCAUUUUAUCCUCACGUGGUGGAAAGAGCAAGAUAACUUUCUGGGGUCUCUUUUAGAAGAACACUAAUUUCACUCAUUAGGCCUCCUCACUCAUGACUUAAUUAUCUUCAAAGUCCCCACAUCCUAAUACCAUCACAUUGGGGUACGGAUUUCAACACGUAAAUUUUGGUGGGGGUUGGGAGAGGAGCACAAGCAUUUAGUCCAUAAUAGCCACAUAAUGAAAAGAUUUAAAAAAUGAAAUUAUUCAACAGGAACACAGUACAAAUAAUAUGAUAGGACAAAGAUCAAAUAUAUUUUAUCUGUUAAUAAAAGUAAAUCUUCAUUAAGAUAAUUUUCAGAAUGAAUCGCAAAGCAAACCCAACUCUGUUAUAUGUAAGAGAUACAUCUAAACAAAGAUACUCACAAAGUUUAAGAGUUAAAGAUACACCAGAGAAAUACAAACACAAGGAAAGCAGUGAUUGAUAUCUUAAUAUCACACAACAUGGAAUUCAAGACAAAGAUCAAUAAAUAAGGAAGGAAGGGUACCUUUUAAUGUAAAUGAUAUAAAUCAGUUUAAGAUAACAUUUAUGAAUAACUAUGUGCCAAAUAAUAUAGCAUCCACCUUUAUAAAGCAGAAAUUAGACACAAGAAAUAGGCAGAUACCCUAAUAUAAAGGGAAUUUAAUUCACUUUUCUCAGUCUAUUUUAUACCAAGAGGACAAUAAUAAACAAGGAUAUAGAAUACCUAAGUAAUUAAUGAGACAGACAUGAUUAAUCCAUGUAACUAAAGAAUACAGAAUAAGCUUUUUGUU